This 468-nucleotide ribosomal RNA is filed under the name uncultured bacterium. Its description in RNAcentral is "partial 16S ribosomal RNA". It matches the Rfam family "Bacterial small subunit ribosomal RNA", at positions 28 to 507 of the family's 1533-position model. The record is from RNAcentral.
GACGAACGCUGGCGGCGUGCUUAACACAUGCAAGUCGAACGGAAAGGCCCUGCUUUUGUGGGGUGCUCGAGUGGCGAACGGGUGAGUAACACGUGAGUAACCUGCCCUUGACUUUGGGAUAACUUCAGGAAACUGGGGCUAAUACCGGAUAGGAGCUCCUGCUGCAUGGUGGGGGUUGGAAAGUUUCGGCGGUUGUGGAUGGGCUCGCGGCUUAUCAGCUUGUUGGUGGGGUAGUGGCUUACCAAGGCUUUGACGGGUAGCCGGCCUGAGAGGGUGACCGGGCACAUUGGGACUGAGAUACGGCCGAGACUACUACGGGAGGCAGCAGUGGGGAAUAGUGCACGAUGGGCGGAAGCCUGAUGCAGCAACGCCGCGUGCGGGAUGACGGACUUCGGGUUGUAAACCGCUUUCGCCUGUGACGAAGCGUGAGUGACGGUAAUGGGUAAAGAAGCACCGGCUAACUACGUG